This 501-nucleotide ribosomal RNA is filed under the name uncultured bacterium. Its description in RNAcentral is "SSU rRNA". It matches the Rfam family "Bacterial small subunit ribosomal RNA", at positions 26 to 523 of the family's 1533-position model. The record is from RNAcentral.
AGAGCGAACGCUGGCGGCGUGCUUAACACACGCAAGUCGAACGCGCAGUAUCCUGUAGCAAUACAGGAUGCGGGCGCGUGGCGAACGGGUGCGUAACACGUGGGCAACCUUCCCUUCGGUGGGGGAUACCCUCGCGAAAGCGAGACUAAUACCGCAUAACAUUCCCCUGGUUACGACUGGGGGAUUCAAAGCAGCAAUGCGCCGGAAGAGGGGCCCGCGGCCGAUUAGCUAGUUGGUGAGGUAACGGCUCACCAAGGCUUUGAUCGGUAACCGGUCUGAGAGGACGAUCGGUCACACUGGAACUGAGACACGGUCCAGACUCCUACGGGAGGCAGCAGUGGGGAAUAUUGCGCAAUGGGCGAAAGCCUGACGCAGCGACGCCGCGUGGGGGAUGAAGCUUUUCGGAGUGUAAACCCCUUUCGACCCGGACGAAAGCCCGCAAGGGCCUGACGGUACGGGUAUAAGAAGCCCCGGCUAACUACGUGCCAGCAGCCGCGGUAA